AUCCCACUCUCCAAUCUACCAAAGAAUCCUAGAAUUGUUAUAGGUGCAUAAUUUUGUGCCUUAGGUCUGAUUUUGAUCCAGAUUGAUAGUUGGUCCUGUCUAGAUAUCAAUUCUUAGCUUCUUAAGAUAAAUUUUGUUGAAAUCUACUUUCAAUUCUCUCCGACACAUGUCUAUAUUUUUUAAUUUUCCAAUAUACUUUUUUUUGGAUUAUAUGUGGCCCUACAAAGUAAGUAGAAGCUUAUUUUACAAAAGGGCAAUAUUAAAAUCCCUUUGUUUGCUAUCUUUUUGAAUAUUUUUUAAAUUUCUAAGAUAAUUUUUUAUAAU
RNAcentral lists this long non-coding RNA (324 nucleotides) under Physcomitrium patens. RNAcentral describes it as "long non-coding RNA (PPAT_LNC012163)". The record is from RNAcentral. Lineage: Eukaryota; Viridiplantae; Streptophyta; Bryopsida; Funariales; Funariaceae.